This 1426-nucleotide ribosomal RNA is filed under the name Streptomyces pratensis. RNAcentral's name for it is "bacterial SSU rRNA". It matches the Rfam family "Bacterial small subunit ribosomal RNA". Lineage: Bacteria; Bacillati; Actinomycetota; Actinomycetes; Kitasatosporales; Streptomycetaceae. The record is from RNAcentral.
UCUACCAUGCAGUCGACGAUGAAGCCCUUCGGGGUGGAUUAGUGGCGAACGGGUGAGUAACACGUGGGCAAUCUGCCCUUCACUCUGGGACAAGCCCUGGAAACGGGGUCUAAUACCGGAUAACACUCUGUCCCGCAUGGGACGGGGUUAAAAGCUCCGGCGGUGAAGGAUGAGCCCGCGGCCUAUCAGCUUGUUGGUGGGGUAAUGGCCUACCAAGGCGACGACGGGUAGCCGGCCUACACACUGGCAGGACAGCACACUGGGACUGAGACACGGCCCACUCCUACGGGAGGCAGCAGUGGGGAAUAUUGCACAAUGGGCGAAAGCCUGAUGCAGCGACGCCGCGUGAGGGAUGACGGCCUUCGGGUUGUAAACCUCUUUCAGCAGGGAAGAAGCGAAAGUGACGGUACCUGCAGAAGAAGCGCCGGCUAACUACGUGCCAGCAGCCGCGGUAAUACGUAGGGCGCAAGCGUUGUCCGGAAUUAUUGGGCGUAAAGAGCUCGUAGGCGGCUUGUCACGUCGGAUGUGAAAGCCCGGGGCUUAACCCCGGGUCUGCAUUCGAUACGGGCUAGCUAGAGUGUGGUAGGGGAGAUCGGAAUUCCUGGUGUAGCGGUGAAAUGCGCAGAUAUCAGGAGGAACACCGGUGGCGAAGGCGGAUCUCUGGGCCAUUACUGACGCUGAGGAGCGAAAGCGUGGGGAGCGAACAGGAUUAGAUACCCUGGUAGUCCACGCCGUACGGGCGCGCGUAGCGCUAGGGUGUUGGCGACAUUCUCGUCGGUGCCGCAGCUAACGCAUUAAGUUCCCCGCCUGGGGAGUACGGCCGCAAGGCUAAAACUCAAAGGAAUUGACGGGGGCCCGCACAAGCAGCGGAGCAUGUGGCUUAAUUCGACGCAACGCGAAGAACCUUACCAAGGCUUGACAUAUACCGGAAGCGCAUGCAUGCAUGCAUGCAUGCUGGUGCCCCCCUUGUGGUCGGUAUACCUGUCGUCAGCUCGUGUCGUGAGAUGUUGGGUUAAGUCCCGCAACGAGCGCAACCCUUGUUCUGUGUUGCCAGCAUGCCCUUCGGGGUGAUUCACAGGAGACUGCCGGGGUCAACUCGGAGGAAGGUGGGGACGACGUCAAGUCAUCAUGCCCCUUAUGUCUUGGGCUGCACACGUGCUACAAUGGCCGGUACAAUGAGCUGCGAUGCCGCGAGGCGGAGCGAAUCUCGCCGGUCUCAGUUCGGAUUGGGGUCUGCAACUCGACCCCAUGAAGUCGGAGUUGCUAGUAAUCGCAGAUCAGCAUUGCUGCGGUGAAUACGUUCCCGGGCCUUGUACACACCGCCCGUCACGUCACGAAAGUCGGUAACACCCGAAGCCGGUGGCCCAACCCCUUGUGGGAGGGAGCUGUCGAAGGUGGGACUGGCGAUUGGGACGAAGUCGAACAA